UAGGGAAUAUUGCGCAAUGGGGGAAACCCUGACGCAGCAACGCCGCGUGAGUGAGGAAGGUCUUCGGAUUGUAAAACUCUUUUAUUAGGGAAAAAUGUCUAGGUGGCUAAUAUCCACUUAGAGUGAUGGUACCUAAGGAAUAAGCACCGGCUAACUUCGUGCCAGCAGCCGCGGUAAUACGAAGGGUGCAAGCGUUGUUCGGAAUCAUUGGGCGUAAAGCGCGCGCAGGCGGGUCAGUAAGUCAGGUGUGAAAUCUCGGAGCUCAACUCCGAAACUGCGCCUGAAACUAUUGGUCUAGAGUAUCGGAGGGGACAGGGGAAUUUCACGUGUAGGGGUAAAAUCCGUAGAGAUGUGAAGGAACACCGGAGGCGAAGGCGCCUGUCUGGACGAUUACUGACGCUGAGGCGCGAAAGCGUGGGGAGCAAACAGG
This 430-nucleotide ribosomal RNA is filed under the name uncultured Peredibacter sp. Its description in RNAcentral is "bacterial SSU rRNA". It matches the Rfam family "Bacterial small subunit ribosomal RNA", at positions 355 to 776 of the family's 1533-position model. The record is from RNAcentral. Lineage: Bacteria; Pseudomonadati; Bdellovibrionota; Bacteriovoracia; Bacteriovoracales; Bacteriovoracaceae.